This 135-nucleotide ribosomal RNA is filed under the name Castor canadensis (American beaver). The record is from RNAcentral. Lineage: Eukaryota; Metazoa; Chordata; Mammalia; Rodentia; Castoridae.
GUCUACGGCCCGACCACACUGAGCAUGCCCUAUCUCAUCUGGUCUUGGAAGCUAAGCAGGGUUGGGCUUGGUUAAUACUUGGAUGGAAGACAGAUCUUCAGAAGAGACUGCUCAGAGACAAGCAGUUUGGAGACA